GCUCUGACAUCCAGGCUGGAGCACAGUGGCAUGUCAUGGUUCACCGCAGCCUUGAACUCCUGGGUUCAAGCAGCUUUUCAUCUUAGCCCCCAGAGAAGCUGGGAUCGCACUUGCUGAAGGAAGGCUCCCAUUUGUCCUCUGCUACUCAGAACUUGUGCAAAAUGUGGCUUAUUGUCAUGACAAAGACACUGUCAGGCCAAGCCUUGUCAGCGUUCCUGAGAUGCCAGGCCACCUGUCAGUGUGUUUGGGAGGGGCAGACCACUGCCAUGCAUUCCAGCACACCUCACAAGAGACCACUUUACGAUUAGCUAGGAGACCCUAAAGACUCCAAUACUGUUUUCAUAAAAUGGGAAAUAAGCAAUAUACAAGAAAUUGGACAACUUUUGCUAGGUAAGUAGAUGCAAUUUUUUCGAGUUUGUUUUGGAAUUUUGAAUCAGAUUGCCAGUGAAUAAAAGCCAUCCUAUCACCACAUUUUACUGUGAUUUGCUUUUUGUAUGAAUAUUUGGAAAAAUAUUGCAUUUGUG
This is a non-coding RNA of Callithrix jacchus (white-tufted-ear marmoset), 524 nucleotides long. NCBI's taxonomy places the organism in Eukaryota, Metazoa, Chordata, Mammalia, Primates, Cebidae. The record is from RefSeq and is a predicted model, not a curated record.